This 468-nucleotide ribosomal RNA is filed under the name uncultured bacterium. RNAcentral's name for it is "partial 16S ribosomal RNA". It matches the Rfam family "Bacterial small subunit ribosomal RNA", at positions 28 to 507 of the family's 1533-position model. The record is from RNAcentral.
GACGAACGCUGGCGGCGUGCUUAACACAUGCAAGUCGAACGGAAAGGCCCUGCUUUUGUGGGGUGCUCGAGUGGCGAACGGGUGAGUAACACGUGAGUAACCUGCCCUUGACUUUGGGAUAACUUCAGGAAACUGGGGCUAAUACCGGAUAGGAGCUCCUGCUGCAUGGUGGGGGUUGGAAAGUUUCGGCGGUUGGGGAUGGACUCGCGGCUUAUCAGCUUGUUGGUGGGGUAGUGGCUUACCAAGGCUUUGACGGGUAGCCGGCCUGAGAGGGUGACCGGCCACAUUGGGACUGAGAUACGGCCCAGACUCCUACGGGAGGCAGCAGUGGGGAAUAUUGCACAAUGGGCGGAAGCCUGAUGCAGCAACGCCGCGUGCGGGAUGAAGGCCUUCGGGUUGUAAACCGCUUUCGCCUGUGACGAAGCGUAAGUGACGGUAAUGGGUAAAGAAGCACCGGCUAACUACGUG